CAAAGGCCCCAAAGGAAGCCACGGCUAACUCUGUGCCAGCAGCCGCGGUAAUACAGAGGUGGCAAGCGUUGUUCGGUAUUAUUGGGCGUAAAGAGCACGUAGGUGGUUUUGUAAGUCAGAUGUGAAAGCCUUCUGUUCAAAGGAAGAACGGCAUCUGAAACUGCAGAUCUUGAGUGUAGGAGGGGAGAGUGGAACUUCUGGUGGAGCGGUGAAAUGCGUAGAUAUCAGAAGGAACGUCGGCGGCGAAAGCGACUCUCUGGCCUAUUACUGACACUGAGUGUGCGAAAGUUAGGGGAGCAAACGGGAUUAGAUACCCCGGUAGUCCUAACUGUGAA
RNAcentral lists this ribosomal RNA (335 nucleotides) under uncultured Planctomycetales bacterium. Its description in RNAcentral is "bacterial SSU rRNA". It matches the Rfam family "Bacterial small subunit ribosomal RNA", at positions 473 to 806 of the family's 1533-position model. Lineage: Bacteria; Pseudomonadati; Planctomycetota; Planctomycetia; Planctomycetales. The record is from RNAcentral.